Molecule: ribosomal RNA, 289 nt
Filed under: uncultured bacterium SB5
Lineage: Bacteria
Description: partial 16S ribosomal RNA
Rfam family: Bacterial small subunit ribosomal RNA
Source: RNAcentral
CAACGCUGGCGGCGUGCCUAACACAUGCAAGUCGAACGAGAAAGGGACUUCGGUCCUGAGUAUAGUGGCGCACGGGUGAGUAACACGUGAAUAAUCUACCUCCGAGUGGGGAAUAACCUGGAGAAAUCUAGGCUAAUACCGCAUAACACUUACGAGUCAAAGCAGCAAUGCGCUUGGAGAGGAGUUCGCGGCCGAUUAGUUAGUUGGCGGGGUAAUGGCCCACCAAGACGAUGAUCGGUAUCCGGCCUGAGAGGGCGCACGGACACACUGGAACUGAAACACGGUCCAG